UACGUAGGGUGCGAGCGUUGUCCGGAAUUAUUGGGCGUAAAGAGCUCGUAGGCGGUUUGUCGCGUCGACUGUGAAAUCCCGAGGCUUAACCUCGGGCCUGCAGUCGAUACGGGCAGACUAGAGUUCGGUAGGGGAGACUGGAAUUCCUGGUGUAGCGGUGAAAUGCGCAGAUAUCAGGAGGAACACCGGUGGCGAAGGCGGGUCUCUGGGCCGAUACUGACGCUGAGGAGCGAAAGCGUGGGGAGCGAACAGG
This 253-nucleotide ribosomal RNA is filed under the name uncultured bacterium. Its description in RNAcentral is "partial 16S ribosomal RNA". It matches the Rfam family "Bacterial small subunit ribosomal RNA", at positions 524 to 776 of the family's 1533-position model. The record is from RNAcentral.